This 403-nucleotide ribosomal RNA is filed under the name bacterium. RNAcentral describes it as "partial 16S ribosomal RNA". It matches the Rfam family "Bacterial small subunit ribosomal RNA", at positions 355 to 776 of the family's 1533-position model. The record is from RNAcentral.
UGGGGAAUAUUGCACAAUGGGGGAAACCCUGAUGCAGCGACGCCGCGUGAACGAAGAAGGUAUUCGUAUCGUAAAGUUCUGUCCUAUGUGAAGAUAAUGACAGUACCAUAGAAGAAAGCUCCGGCUAAAUACGUGCCAGCAGCCGCGGUAAUCCGUAUGGAGCGAGCGUUGUCCGGAAUUAUUGGGCGUAAAGGGUACGCAGGCGGUUUAAUAAGUCGAAUGUUAAAGAUCGGGGCUCAACCCCGCAAAGCAUUGGAAACUGAUAAACUUGAGUAGUGGAGAGGAAAGUGGAAUUCCUAGUGUAGUGGUGAAAUACGUAGAUAUUAGGAGGAAUACCAGUAGCGAAGGCGACUUUCUGGACACAAACUGACGCUGAGGUACGAAAGCGUGGGGAGCAAACAGG